RNAcentral lists this ribosomal RNA (229 nucleotides) under uncultured bacterium. RNAcentral describes it as "partial 16S ribosomal RNA". It matches the Rfam family "Bacterial small subunit ribosomal RNA", at positions 568 to 796 of the family's 1533-position model. The record is from RNAcentral.
UGCGUAGGCGGGCCGAUAAGUCAGAGGUGAAAGUUUUCAGCUUAACUGGACAAUUGCCUUUGAUACUGUUGGUCUUGAAUUAGGUUGAGGUUAGUAGAAUGUGACAUGUAGCGGUGAAAUGCAUAGAUAUGUCAUAGAAUACCAAUUGCGAAGGCAGCUAGCUGGGCCUAUAUUGACGCUGAGGCACGAAAGCGUGGGGAGCGAACAGGAUUAGAUACCCUGGUAGUCC